RNAcentral lists this ribosomal RNA (301 nucleotides) under uncultured bacterium. Its description in RNAcentral is "partial 16S ribosomal RNA". It matches the Rfam family "Bacterial small subunit ribosomal RNA", at positions 509 to 808 of the family's 1533-position model. The record is from RNAcentral.
CAGCCGCCGCGGGAAUACAGAGGGUGCGAGCGUUAAUCGGAUUUACUGGGCGUAAAGCGUGCGUAGGCGGCUUUUUAAGUCGGAUGUGAAAUCCCUGAGCUUAACUUAGGAAUUGCAUUCGAUACUGGGAAGCUAGAGUAUGGGAGAGGAUGGUAGAAUUCCAGGUGUAGCGGUGAAAUGCGUAGAGAUCUGGAGGAAUACCGAUGGCGAAGGCAGCCAUCUGGCCUAAUACUGACGCUGAGGUACGAAAGCAUGGGGAGCAAACAGGAUUAGAGACCCCCGUAGUCCCUUCUCUUAUACC